This 452-nucleotide unclassified non-coding RNA is filed under the name uncultured Cystofilobasidium. RNAcentral's name for it is "sequence contains ITS2". The stretch from base 1 to 154 matches the Rfam family "5.8S ribosomal RNA". Lineage: Eukaryota; Fungi; Basidiomycota; Tremellomycetes; Cystofilobasidiales; Cystofilobasidiaceae. The record is from RNAcentral.
AACUUUCAGCAACGGAUCUCUUGGUUCUCGCAUCGAUGAAGAACGCAGCGAAUUGCGAUAAGUAAUGUGAAUAGCAGAAUUCAGUGAAUCAUCGAAUCUUUGAACGCAUCUUGCGCUCUUUGGUAUUCCGAAGAGCAUGCCUGUUUGAGUGGCAUGAAACUCUCAACUACAAUCUUUCUUAAUUGAUGGGUUUGUAGCUUGGAUGUGAGUGCUGCUGGUGUCCUUAGUUACAUUGGCUCACUUGAAAUUCAUUAGCUGAAUCCUCUUGCAUUGGUUCUACUCGACGUGAUAAGAUCUCCGUCGAGGACAGUGAUUCGUAAGAAUGGCUGGCCAGUAAUAGAGUUGAUACGCUUCUAAUUGGCGCAGACUUCGAGUGCUGGCAAUGAUUGACAACUUGGCCUCAAAUCAGGUAGGACUACCCACUGAACUUAAGCAUAUCAAUAAGCGGAGGC